Molecule: unclassified non-coding RNA, 215 nt
Filed under: Hevea brasiliensis (rubber tree)
Lineage: Eukaryota; Viridiplantae; Streptophyta; Magnoliopsida; Malpighiales; Euphorbiaceae
Source: RNAcentral
GCGCAGCCCUGAUAACUACGCGGUGUCAUCGCCGGACUUGGUCCGGCGAUCCAUUCUUUCGAAAGAAGAUGGAUACGCAGGUCAAGCCCGCGUAUGACGAUUCAAACCAGCAGAUCNUGCUGACAUGACUUGGCGCGCCACCGUGCUCACGCUGUUUCCGGAGAUGUUUCCAGGCCCGCUCGGCAUCAGCCUUGCGGGGAAGGCGCUGACGUCCG